Molecule: ribosomal RNA, 396 nt
Filed under: uncultured bacterium
Lineage: Bacteria
Description: partial 16S ribosomal RNA
Rfam family: Bacterial small subunit ribosomal RNA
Source: RNAcentral
AUACGGAGGGUGCAAGCGUUAAUCGGAAUUACUGGGCGUAAAGCGCACGCAGGCGGUCAAUUAAGUCAGAUGUGAAAGCCCCGAGCUUAACUUGGGAAUUGCAUCUGAAACUGGUUGGCUAGAGUCUUGUAGAGGGGGGUAGAAUUCCACGUGUAGCGGUGAAAUGCGUAGAGAUGUGGAGGAAUACCGGUGGCGAAGGCGGCCCCCUGGACAAAGACUGACGCUCAGGUGCGAAAGCGUGGGGAGCAAACAGGAUUAGAUACCCUGGUAGCCCACGCUGUAAACGAUGUCGAUUUAGAGGUUGUGGUCUUGACCUGUGGCUUCUGGAGCUAACGCGUUAAAUCGACCGCCUGGGGAGUACGGCCGCAAGGUUAAAACUCAAAUGAAUUGGCGGGG